Molecule: ribosomal RNA, 2743 nt
Filed under: human gut metagenome
Description: bacterial LSU rRNA
Rfam family: Bacterial large subunit ribosomal RNA (bases 426-2743)
Source: RNAcentral
ACAAUACACGGUAUAUGUAUACGUUCCAUCCUCAUUUUUCACAGUAGAAUCUCCAUUGGGCGGUUCACUUUUUCUUGCCCUGUGACACAAAUUUGCAUAUACUUAUUUUAUCAAAUAACAUCAGGAGAAACCCAUGAUCUAUUUAAAAAAUCCCCUGUGCCUUGGCAUGGAAGAAUCAGAAUAUAAAGAAAUGCUCGCUCUGGGCGGUAUGCGCCAGAAACAUUUUGAAAAAAAUGAAGUGAUUUUGUCUGCCGGAUGCACCACGCACGUACAUAAAUUUUAUCGUGUCCGGCACCCCCUGAUUGCAUACAAAAACUUAUUCAAAAACUACUCUGUGUAUACCUGACAGUAACAAUCACAACCAUCUUCUUUGCUUCAUCAAUACGAUAAACAAUUGUAAAAUUCUUUACAAAAAUUUGGCGGUAUCCCCGAUUAGCAAAAGCCCCUGUCCUUCUGAUACCCCCACGGUAAGGAAUUUCAUCCAGACUUAAAAUUGCAUCUUCUAAAGCAUCUGCCAUCUUCUCAGCGGUACCUAUCUCCUUGAAAUCAUCUACUAUAUGAUUAUAAAUAUUAUCAAGGUCAUCUGAUACACGCUGCAGCAUUUUUAUUGUAUAUUUAACCAAAAUGCUUCCUCCUAAGUGAUAGGCGAAGCGAGAGCGAGUCUGAAUAGGGCGACACAGUUGCAUGCAAUAGACCCGAAACCAGGUGACCUAUCCAUGGGCAGGUUGAAGUGGGGGUAAAACCCCAUGGAGGACCGAACCGACCCCCGUUGCAAUGGUGGCGGAUGACCUGUGGAUAGCGGAGAAAUUCUAAUCGAACUUGGAGAUAGCUGGUUCUCCCCGAAAUAGCUUUAGGGCUAGCGUUGAUUUAGAUUACCGGAGGUAAAGCACUGAAUGGGCUAGGGGCUGAUAAAGUUACUGAACCCUAUCAAACUAAGAAUGCCGGCAAAUUGAUGAUCAGCAGUCAGACUACGUGAGAUAAGUCUCGUGGUCAAAAGGGAAACAGCCCAGACCCACAGCUAAGGUCCCAAAUAUACGCUAAGUGGAAAACGAUGUGGAAUUGCGAAAACAACCAGGAUGUUGGCUUAGAAGCAGCCACUCAUUAAAAGAGUGCGUAAUAGCUCACUGGUCGAGUGGUUCUGCGCGGAAAAUGUAACGGGGCUAAGCGUAUAACCGAAGCUUGGGAUGCAGCAAUGCAUGGUAGGGGAGCGUCGAAUACGGGGUGAAGUCGCAGCGGAAGCAGCGGUGGACUGUAUUCGAGUGAGAAUGCCGGAAUGAGUAGCGAGAAUUAUGUGGGAAUCAUAAUGGCCGAAAAUCUAAGGUUUCUUGGGGAAGGUUCGUCCGCCCAAGGUAAGCCGGGAGCUAAGGCGAGGCCGAAAGGCGUAGUCGAUGCACAUACGGUUGAAAUUCCGUAGCCACCGAAACUUAAACCAGAAGGACACUUGGAGCUAUCCGAACCCGGGCGUUGGUUGACCCGGGCGUAAGGGACCGAAAUUAAGUAGGGAAGUCGGAGAAUGACGAGGCGAGAAAAGUUCUGGUGUAUGCUAAGGUGCCCGUACCGCAAACCGACACAGGUAGAUGAGGAGAGAAUCCUAAGGCCAACGGGAGAAGGGUUGUUAAGGAACUCGGCAAAUUGACCCCGUAACUUCGGAAGAAGGGGAGCCCCGAAAGGGGCCGCAGUGAAUAGGCCCAAGCAACUGUUUACCAAAAACACAGGUUUAUGCUAAAUCGAAAGAUGACGUAUAUGAGCUGACGCCUGCCCGGUGCCGGAAGGUUAAGAGGAGAUGUCAACCGCGAGGUGAAGCAUUGAAUUGAAGCCCCGGUAAACGGCGGCCGUAACUAUAACGGUCCUAAGGUAGCGAAAUUCCUUGUCAGGUAAGUUCUGACCCGCACGAAAGGCGUAAUGAUUUGGGCACUGUCUCAACAGCCCGCCCGGCGAAAUUGUAGUACUGGUGAAGAUGCCAGUUACCCGCAACUAGACGGAAAGACCCCAUGGAGCUUUACUGCAGCUUAAUACUGGAAUUCGGUAAAUCAUGUACAGGAUAGGUGGGAGACUGGGAAGCAUUGGCGUCAGCCAGUGUGGAGUCGCUGGUGGGAUACCACUCUUGAUUUGCUGGGUUUCUAACCUGCGGCCGUGAAUCCGGUCGGGGGACACUGUUAGGCGGGCAGUUUGACUGGGGCGGUCGCCUCCAAAAGAGUAACGGAGGCGCUCAAAGGUUGGCUCAGCACGGACGGAAAUCGUGCAAUGAGUGUAAACGUAUAAGCCAGCCUAACUGCGAGACCGACGGGUCGAGCAGUAACGAAAGUUGGAGUUAGUGAUCCGGUGGUAUGUGAGUGGAAAUGCCAUCGCUCAACGGAUAAAAGUUACCCUGGGGAUAACAGGCUGAUCUCCCCCAAGAGUCCACAUCGACGGGGAGGUUUGGCACCUCGAUGUCGGCUCAUCACAUCCUGGGGCUGUAUUCGGUCCCAAGGGUUCGGCUGUUCGCCGAUUAAAGUGGUACGCGAGCUGGGUUCAGAACGUCGUGAGACAGUUCGGUCCCUAUCUGUCGUGGGCGCAGGAUAUUUGAGGAGUGCUGUCCUUAGUACGAGAGGACCGGGAUGGACGCACCGCUGGUGCACCAGUUGUCAUGCCAAUGGCACGGCUGGGCAGCUACGUGCGGAUCGGAUAAACGCUGAAAGCAUCUAAGCGUGAAGCCGGCUCCAAGAUAAGAUAUCCCAUAACGAAAGUUAGUAAGACCCCUUGA